RNAcentral lists this non-coding RNA (18 nucleotides) under Arabidopsis thaliana (thale cress). The record is from RNAcentral. Lineage: Eukaryota; Viridiplantae; Streptophyta; Magnoliopsida; Brassicales; Brassicaceae.
GGUGGUGCAUGGCCGUUC